This 73-nucleotide transfer RNA is filed under the name Fukomys damarensis (Damara mole-rat). It matches the Rfam family "tRNA". Rfam says of the family: Transfer RNA (tRNA) molecules are approximately 80 nucleotides in length. Lineage: Eukaryota; Metazoa; Chordata; Mammalia; Rodentia; Bathyergidae. The record is from Rfam by way of RNAcentral.
GGGGAUUUAGCUUAGUGGUUCUGGCACCUGCUUCGCAAGCACAAGGACCUGAGUUCAAUCCCCGGUACCCCCA